Chiroxiphia lanceolata (lance-tailed manakin) is the source of this 1732-nucleotide long non-coding RNA. RefSeq lists it as uncharacterized. The record is from RefSeq and is a predicted model, not a curated record. NCBI's taxonomy places the organism in Eukaryota, Metazoa, Chordata, Aves, Passeriformes, Pipridae. The transcript is spliced from 3 exons.
CGGUGAGGGCGGGACAGGGAGCUACCGUGAGGAGACAUCAGCGAGCGCCCACCUUGUGAGGCGGCGGUCCCUCCGCACCGGAACUGCGGCGCUCGGUGGGAGCCGGUGCUCGGGGACCCCGCGGAACCCGCCCGAGCGCAGCCCUGGCCGUGUGACGUGUGUGCCUGUGCCCGCUGCUCCAGCGGCACAGCUGCCCUCUGGAAACUCCCCGCUCGCCUGAGCGAGGAGGGGGCGAGAACAGGGACUCUCCCGUUAACGCAGCCGGGCGGCGGGAAAGGAAACGUCGGUGAAGCCUGAGUCAGGGAGGAGGCAGUCGGCAGCGUGGGUGUUUCCCGUCCGAAGCCCGCCAGAAAUAGUGCCGCCUUUUUGGCAGCGUGCGCUCAAGGGGCGCGGUGGGAGGCCGGGUGUUUCGCCAGAUGAGAAGCCACGGAGCUGGCGAUACCACCAGUCCCGGGGUGCAGCGGGCAGGAGCGGAGCUCGGCGUGUGCUGAGCCAGGGCCUGGGAGGGGUCGAGCUGUGAUGACUCGAGAGGGAUACCUUCAGGGCAUUUAUCUCACAGUCAUCAUCACAGAACUUGAACAUCUCAGUCUAUUAAAGAGCAAGAUAGCAGUCUACAGAUAAAAGCUGUCAAGUGCAACAAACGCCAGUCCUGAAAUCCCAACUGCAAGCAAGUCAGUGAGAUCAAGAUGUUACAAGGCAACCUUAAAAGACAUUUGCUUUUAAGGCUACUAAAAGAAGUAUCGUGAUUAAUCACAGAGGGCAUAAAAGCUGGAGAUGGACUUUCAUUUACUUGUCUUUGCACAGGUCUCUGCAUUGUGACGGUAAGCCCAGCUCUGAGCCGGUGUAAUGCAGCAGGACUCAGCUAACUUCACAGCUGUGCUGGUUUAAAUCACAGAAUUUGGCCUGGUUUAAGACUUGAGAGCUGCGUGAUUCUGUUACCCUUGUUUCUAUGUAAAAAACAGGAGUAUAUAAAAGAGCAAUAGGGUAGAGCACUACCUCAGCAAUUUGGAACGACAGGGGAACCGCUAUGGAUUGCUAACUCGAACCUUGUGCCCACAGCUUGGCUGAGAGUCCUCAGAGGAGAGCAAGAGAAACCUACUAUAUGAUAUAUAUACGCCAGCAGAGUGCUCUGCCUUGAAAUGAGAGCCGACAGGCAAAGCCAGUGGAGUACAUUGGGAGCAUUGUUUUAUUGCUGCUUUACUGCUGAGAUUGCUGAACGGUCACGAAAAUGCCUGGCGCUGCUGCUGCACUGUUCCAGCAGGACGUGACCUGCUGUGGGAGAUGGCCGCACACUGCAUCUCUAUGGUGUGCAGCAGCAGCUCAUGGAAAUGCUGAAGAACUGGAAAUAUCAGAUGAGUUCUCUCUAUGCAACUGAGUUUACAGCAGUUGGACUAUUGCCAGCUAAACUAGCACAAUUUAAAAGUAAACCAGAAUUUCUACACCAGCAGAAGUGUGUCAGCUGCGCUAAACCCACAUGGAAGCUGGUCCCAGGGAAGCAGAGCAGGAGGCCAUUGGCUCCUCACCCCAGCCCUGCUGGCCCACACUGUGAGCUGGGCCCCACAGCUUUGGGUCACUUUAUUCAUUUUCCAUGCUUAAAGGUUCUUGACUGCACAAAGCAAUCUUGGAUUACAAAGGAGCGUAGGCUACAUCUCAACUGUUUCAAGUGCUGCCAAGAAAAAAGGGGACUUGGGUCAAGCCCAAGCUAGCCAAGCACAGAAUUUGACAAGGCUUU